Molecule: long non-coding RNA, 3980 nt
Filed under: Equus caballus (horse)
Lineage: Eukaryota; Metazoa; Chordata; Mammalia; Perissodactyla; Equidae
Description: lncRNA (ENSECAG00000050509.1)
Source: RNAcentral
GGGAGGGACGUCCAUCGUGUAGCGCUGGCCCCCGGGGUUCACUCAGGGUGGAAAUAAAACUGAGUCCCUACUGGACUGUCUUUCUGCUGCUGCCUAAAGAAACCGCCACAAACCUCGAGGCUUAAACAGCAGGAAUUCAUCAUCCGACAGCUCGGGGGUCGGCAGCCCGCGGUGGUCGUCACUGGGCUCCGAUCGGGACGGGGGCCGGCUGGUUCCUCCACAGGGUCUGUUCCGCGCUCGCUCGGCACUGGCAGCACUCAGGUCCGUGCGGUGCCGGCAUGGGUCUGCGUCCUCGCCGGUGCCGCCCAAGGGCUGUGCUCGCGCCCCGGCCCACGGCCCCUCUGCAUCUCCAGGGCGAGGCCAGCCUCCCGUCUCCCUCUGCGCGACCGCCGCUGGGGAAGGGCCCACACGAUUAGGCCCGGCCGCCGGGAUCCUCCAGGACGUGACCAUGACCAUGCCGGCACGUCCCUCGGCCACGAGAGCUGACAGGUUCCCAGGCCCAGGGUUCGGACGUGGAACUUUGGGGUCGUCCUUCUUCCUCCCACGCCCACCUCACACCACACACAGAAACCAGCUGUGAAUGAAUUCCAGACGAGAGAGUCCAAACAGACCCGUAAACUCACGAGAGGAGGAGAAGGCGGCCGUCGAGCCAGAGAAGGACUUUUUCUUAACAAGACACAGAAAGCGCUGAUCAUAAACGACCAAGAAAUUCAGCCAUCAAAACUUCAGUAUUUCCGACCAUCGAGGGCUCUGAAGGACGUGACACCAGACACAGAGACACGCGCCACAGACAUGACGCAUUAGCACCACACAGACAGAGAACGUCUGUGAAUCCGUGAGAAAACAGAUAAAUCAAGUGAAAAACAGGGAAAAGCCAUGAAGAGGCCACACCACAGAGGGAAGUCCACGUGGAGACGUGAGCGGAUGCUUGGUGUCACGAAUAACCGGGAAAACGAAGUCCACGUGUGCACGAGACAGGCUGGAGGAGGAGAGCAGCCCGGAGGAGGACGCCAGCUCGACGUCCCGGCCCCAGCAGACGCCGCCUGGACCCAAGAGCCCCACCGAGCCCGCGGGGUGCAGAGCCACGGCAGGGGGUAAAUCCUCACGGCGUGAAGCCGCCAACUGGGGGCUGCCUGUCCCGCAACGACUCGUGACUGAGCCCCACCCCAUCCUGUCAAAGCGCCCGGCGGGUCUGCAGGGUCCCCGACUGGCUCCUGCCGGCCGCUGCCCCAGCACCCUCUCCCCCGCCCUCUCGUCACCCUGCAGCCCUCCUUUCUGCCACACACACCAAGCCCCUGCUGUCCCAGGCCCAAGCGCUGGCCACCCCUCACUUUUCAUGUGGAAAAGCCACCUCCUCCGAGAGGCCUUCCGUGACCCCCCAUCUAAGGCGGGGCCUCCUUUUGUACGUAAAUAAGAGGGGCCUUCAGGGUCGUUUCAUGGCGCUUAUGAUGGUCUUGUGGGCCCCGCGAGCGCAGGGCUGGGGUCUUGUCCCACCUGGGCAGGGCCGGGCCGCAGGGUUUCAGUAAACGCCGGGGUGAAGGUCUCUUGUCGGCCGCUGGGGAAGCCAGCAGUACCGCACAGUGGCCACGAGGUGCCGCCCCGCUCACGGGCGCGCUGGUCUCCCCAUGGGGCGUCUACACGACCGAGGGCCUCGUCCCCCUGCGGCCCCACAGUCCGUCCUGCGAGACGAGCUGAGCUUCGGGGCGUCACCCCUGCUCCACCCAGGAGGGAGCAGGCUCAGAGGGGCAGCCAUCGCCCAGAUCGCACCGGACUCCCACAGGCCGCUCCCGCCAAGCCCACAGCCCCCAGCCGGGCGGCAUCUGCAAACCUUGGGACCAAGGACGGGGGCGCAGGGCCUCACUGGGUCUGCAGGGACCUCCCUGGAGCCGGCCCCGCGACACCCUCCCCUCGCUCAGCAGCCUCCUGGGGCUCCCAGCUUCCACGGGAGGUUUCCUGGAGCAGGAUGCACACAGGCGUCUUUGAGGCGCCUCUGGAGGGAAACAGCCCAGCGUGAGCUGACGAGAACCUGCCCCCUGUCUCUGUCCCGGUCCCGGUGUCUCAGGAGGACGGUCUCGCUGGGCUCACGACGUCCCCCGGGCCCCGGUCUGGUGGCCCUUUGAGGCCAUGGAGCUGGACUUUCAUCGUCGCCUCUGCUCGCACACUUGCCUCUGGCUUGUUUCGCGGUUGUUUGAAAUAACUGCAAACUUUCCAGAAAACCUGCGGGAGCCACGAGGACUCCGAGGGCCCCCACGGGCUCGCCGGCCGCCAGCUCUCCCCACACGGCCGCAUCUCCUCUAUUUUCCUGCAUAUUUAAGGCGACUCCAGACACCAGCCCGAUUCACCCCGGCCGCUCGCGUGGGUUUCUAGGAACGAGGACGUUCUCAGGAAGCCGCCGCGUGACCGUCAAAACCAGAAAAAACAGCCUGGACACAAAAUGCCAUCUGAUCGAGAAUCCUCACGCGGGCUUCACGGUCGUCCCAAUAGCGCCCUUUACGGCCGGCGCGGCGGCGGCGUCCCCGGGGCCGUGGGGCCACGUGUCUGCGGACGUCCCCUGCGUCCUGGCUGCGCAGCCUCCCCCGGCUUCUCCCCGUCAAGCUCCAGGUUCCCUCUGCCUCCCCUUCUCUCUUCUUGUUUUACAUCCUUCUUUUCACGGCGAGUUGCACCAGUUUUCCGUUCACAGCGACGGUGCAACCCUUUCUGCACCAGUUCAUCGGGUCAAAGAAAUGGGUCGACGGGCCAAUUUGAAGAAACAUGUCAGCCCUGGAGGAUGGGCGCAUGUGGCCGGAGUGGUGACGGGGCCCGGGGUGGGGGUGACGCGAGGGCUCAGCGGAAGCGUCUCCCCCAACCAUGGACCUCCAGGGGCGAUUCCCAGCCUUCUCCAGUUUUAGAGGUUUGUGAGUCACUUUAGGAUGACGAGGUGUCUGCUGGGCCCGGCUUCCCGCAGAGCCGGCACCUGUGGCUGCUGACAAACCGCCCAAACGUCGAGGUUUGACAGCACAGCUCCGAUCCCCUACAGCUCUGGGGUCGGAGGUCGGGCUUGAUCGCUGGGCAACGACAUCAGGGUGUGGGCUGGGCUGCUUCCUUCCAGAGGCGCCAGGGAAGGAUCUGUCCCCGUGCCCAAGAAGAUGGACGGGAGACAGGAGACAACUCCACACUGAGGAGCCCGGGCCAGCAGGGUGGGGUCACCAGAGGCCACGGCGGGAGCUGGGGCCACAGAGGAGACGCCGUCUGAACAAGAUGACGGCCCCCCCAGCUCUCAGAGGGCCUCCCGGAGGAGGCGGCACCCAAGGGCCCUGGGAGGUGGUUCCAGGCAACUGAGCUGGGCGGGUGGGGGCAAAACCAGUGGAGCCCAGUGGCAGCUGACCAGCACGGCAGCCCCCAGACCACAGGCCCUCGUGUGGAACGGACGUCGAGCCUCACAAAGGUCUGAAUCCCUUCGUGCGCGGCUGGGUUGUCCUUCGUUCUGGUAACUGAGUUCAUCCCCAUCGUGCCAGGGAGGCCCCGUCCCUCGACCCCAUCUGCACACCCUCGUCCUCUCUCUAGGGCAGUGCAUCUGUCUCCACCCGGGACUGCCUCGGACGACCCACUGAGGCAGAAGAGACGGCUGUGCCCGUUUUGACUCGUGUGUGUUUCUACGCCUGUCGCCAGGAAAACACACCCAGCGAGCCCCCCAGAGGGUGAGACAGACACGGGGGCCACCGUGGAGUCACCCCAGCGGUGGGCACCUGUGGCGGAUGUGGCACCUGGGGCGUCCGCCUCACAGUUUUGUGCCCAAAGCUGGGGGACCUGGGGCCUUUCCUGGCCUGGGCAGCCGGCCCACAGUGCCCGUCCCCCCGGGGAAAGGCUGUUCAGAGGACGCGGAAACCCGGCUUCUGGGGGCCAAACCCCCGACUCUGAACCCCUGGGCCCAGCCAGGCCCCCGGCGAGGCAAGGAGUGGACGCCGCCCUUCCGAGAUCUGGUUAAGUUCUUCCGAAAUGGG